This 253-nucleotide ribosomal RNA is filed under the name uncultured bacterium. RNAcentral's name for it is "partial 16S ribosomal RNA". It matches the Rfam family "Bacterial small subunit ribosomal RNA", at positions 524 to 776 of the family's 1533-position model. The record is from RNAcentral.
UACGAGAGGCCCAAACGUUAUUCGGAAUUACUGGGCUUAAAGAGUCCGUAGGCGGCGCGGAAAGUGGGGUGUGAAAGCCCUCGGCUCAACCGAGGAAUUGCGCUCCAAACUGCCGUGCUUGAGGAACCUAGAGGUGAGCAGAACUGAUGGUGGAGCGGUGAAAUGCGUUGAUAUCAUCAGGAAUACCGGAGGCGAAGGCGGCUCACUGGGGGUUUUCUGACGCUGAGGGACGAAAGCCAGGGUAGCGAACGGG